Long non-coding RNA from Maylandia zebra (zebra mbuna), 977 nucleotides. RefSeq lists it as uncharacterized. The record is from RefSeq and is a predicted model, not a curated record. Lineage: Eukaryota; Metazoa; Chordata; Actinopteri; Cichliformes; Cichlidae.
UCGCCACUUCAAUAUGAAGAAGAUUAAUUCAAAGGGAGGGAACAAAACCUGACCUGUAGGUCAGAAAAACGUCCAUUGGCACAUCAAGUUCGAUUCAGUUUACCGGUAAACAAAUAUAUUUUUCUGCAAGCCUAUGUAACAAUGCAAAUCAUCAUCAACCAAUGUACAACAGUUAAAUUAUUAAUUAUCUUGGCUACGUAGCUUAAUCUAUACAUUCCAGUAGCGUUCGCUACAAACAAUACAAAAACAACAAUAAAGGAAAACAGCUGUCUAACAGACAGCAUAGCCGAAUUCAAGGCAACACAUAACAAUAAUCAUUCAAUCGCACUUUGUUUCAAAGUAAGCCCAUUAAAAUGCUUAAGUAAAUAAAAGUGUUCAAAAACAGCGGUUUUUGAGCCGGAGUUCUGCUCGCGGUGGGAACGCCGCCGCACAAAGUCAUUUUUUAAUCGCGAAAACGAUCGGCUGGUUACUGACAACCAAAAGGUUGUUUUUGGUAGAUAUUAAAGAUCAUGGGUGGGCGGGGCAAAUGGAGCAGUUUUCUACAGUCGAGUAAAAUUCCAGGAAAGAGCUGGGUGUGGCUUUCCUUUAAAUCACAUGAUCAACAGCUUUAAGAUGGAGGCAACUCGCUCAGUGUUUCCUGUUUCAUUCUUAGACUGUGGCGAUGGUAAGUAGCAGCUUUUCACUUGUUACCUGGCAUCUUUUCAGCCACCAAUGAUAGUCAUUGUAUGUUAUCAACAUUUCACUAACUAUGUUUUCUCUCAUGUUUAAAAUAGGCCGACCAAGAGCAAAAUAGAAGACAACAAUUUCUCAAAGGAGGUUCAAAACUAAUGCCUACAAGAUUACCAAGAGGAUGGUUCGGGGCUCUUACAUGACUCCGGGAAGUCAACACUUGGUGGAUGAGAUCCUUCACAGCAUGUUGUUUCUGGGCAAAAUCAACAACAUCCCCUUUUCUCCAGAAGAAAUCUUCCCUAAUCCUU